RNAcentral lists this ribosomal RNA (874 nucleotides) under uncultured bacterium. RNAcentral describes it as "bacterial SSU rRNA". It matches the Rfam family "Bacterial small subunit ribosomal RNA", at positions 9 to 873 of the family's 1533-position model. The record is from RNAcentral.
GAGUUUGAUCCUGGCUCAGAUUGAACGCUGGCGGCAUGCCUUACACAUGCAAGUCGAACGGCAGCACGGGAGCAAUCCUGGUGGCGAGUGGCGAACGGGUGAGUAAUAUAUCGGAACGUGCCCAGUCGUGGGGGAUAACGCAGCGAAAGUUGCGCUAAUACCGCAUACGAUCUACGGAUGAAAGUGGGGGAUCGCAAGACCUCAUGCUCAUGGAGCGGCCGAUAUCUGAUUAGCUAGUUGGUAGGGUAAAAGCCUACCAAGGCUUCGAUCAGUAGCUGGUCUGAGAGGACGACCAGCCACACUGGAACUGAGACACGGUCCAGACUCCUACGGGAGGCAGCAGUGGGGAAUUUUGGACAAUGGGCGCAAGCCUGAUCCAGCAAUGCCGCGUGAGUGAAGAAGGCCUUCGGGUUGUAAAGCUCUUUUGUCAGGGAAGAAACGGUGGACUCUAAUACAGAUCACUAAUGACGGUACCUGAAGAAUAAGCACCGGCUAACUACGUGCCAGCAGCCGCGGUAAUACGUAGGGUGCAAGCGUUAAUCGGAAUUACUGGGCGUAAAGCGUGCGCAGGCGGUUUGGUAAGACAGAUGUGAAAUCCCCGGGCUCAACCUGGGAAUUGCAUUUGUGACUGCCCGACUAGAGUGUGUCAGAGGGGGGUAGAAUUCCACGUGUAGCAGUGAAAUGCGUAGAGAUGUGGAGGAAUACCGAUGGCGAAGGCAGCCCCCUGGGAUAACACUGACGCUCAUGCACGAAAGCGUGGGGAGCAAACAGGAUUAGAUACCCUGGUAGUCCACGCCCUAAACGAUGUCUACUAGUUGUUGGGUCUUAAUUGACUUAGUAACGCAGCUAACGCGUGAAGUAGACCGCCUGGGAG